AGCACUCUCUUUGGUGUGUCUUGGGGAGAUAACCAGAGAAACUUAAGAGAAGCCAUGCUUGAGCUCUUCCUCCCAUUCCAGUAUUACAUACAACUGCUGGGGGUCUUUUAAUGAUCAGGCUGUAGCCAGGAGGAAAAAGGUCACUGAAUCAAAGCAAGCUUUGGAAAACAUCUCUUUACCCUUGGCUUGCUACUACCGGGAACUAUAGGGGUUGAGCCGUCUUCCCUAAUGCCCUGUCCUCCAACAAGAGUUUGGGGUUUGGUAGCUCUCCCUCCCUCAAGUUCCAUUAUGGAAUCAACAGAGGAACCCUCGCUUUUUGGGAAACAGCCAGAAUUGUGAGGAAGAGCUUUCUAAAAGAAGAGCUUCUAAAAGAGCUUUCUACAAUCAAAGAAGAAGAUGUCUGGAAUGGGCGAUGAAAAUACAUAAAGAGAAUGCAAUACUAUCUCAUAUAGAAGAAAGAAGCAGUGGAAGAAAAGGAAAAUUUUUUAAAAGUUUAGCAAGAGAUUCCACUAGGCAAAGUCCUCCCAAGGACAUUGAAGAGUGAAAAUGGAAGGACAAAAAACUUAAGAAAAACAGAAGAAAUUUGUGAAAAUUAUAAAAGCAGAUUUUUUUUAUCAUCAAGGACAACAGAAUUACUACACUUCAGACCUACACAGUUCCAGAUGCACAGCCAGAUGGAUCAAAUGGAUAUUGAGUAGAUGUUGGAGGAAGCACAAAUGUGACGGUACAGAGGGACAAAAUGCAAGGCAUCUUGAGGAAAAUGUACCAAAGGUAUGAAGAAAAAAUACUGAGACUUUAA
Sarcophilus harrisii (Tasmanian devil) is the source of this 799-nucleotide long non-coding RNA. RefSeq lists it as uncharacterized. The record is from RefSeq and is a predicted model, not a curated record. NCBI's taxonomy places the organism in Eukaryota, Metazoa, Chordata, Mammalia, Dasyuromorphia, Dasyuridae. The transcript is spliced from 3 exons.